UACGUAGGGUGCGAGCGUUGUCCGGAAUUAUUGGGCGUAAAGGGCUCGUAGGCGGUUUGUCGCGUCGGGAGUGAAAACCCAGGGCUUAACCCUGGGCUGGCUUCCGAUACGGGCAGACUAGAGGUAUGCAGGGGAGAACGGAAUUCCUGGUGUAGCGGUGAAAUGCGCAGAUAUCAGGAGGAACACCGGUGGCGAAGGCGGUUCUCUGGGCAUUACCUGAUGCUGAGGAGCGAAAGUGUGGGGAGCGAACAGG
This 253-nucleotide ribosomal RNA is filed under the name uncultured bacterium. RNAcentral's name for it is "partial 16S ribosomal RNA". It matches the Rfam family "Bacterial small subunit ribosomal RNA", at positions 524 to 776 of the family's 1533-position model. The record is from RNAcentral.